AGCCAUGCGAGUCAUGGGGCGCGCUCUGCGCGCACCGGCGGACGGCUCAGUAACACGUCGGUAACCUACCCUCGGGAGGGGGAUAACCCCGGGAAACUGGGGCUAAUCCCCCAUAGGCCUGGGGUACUGGAAGGUCCCCAGGCCGAAAGGGGCUCUGCCCGCCCGAGGAUGGGCCGGCGGCCGAUUAGGUAGUUGGUGGGGUAACGGCCCACCAAGCCGAAGAUCGGUACGGGCCAUGAGAGUGGGAGCCCGGAGAUGGACACUGAGACACGGGUCCAGGCCCUACGGGGCGCAGCAGGCGCGAAACCUCCGCAAUGCGGGAAACCGCGACGGGGGGACCCCCAGUGCCGUGCCUCAGGCACGGCUUUUCCGGAGUGUAAAAAGCUCCGGGAAUAAGGGCUGGGCAAGGCCGGUGGCAGCCGCCGCGGUAAUACCGGCGGCCCAAGUGGUGGCCGCUAUUAUUGGGCCUAAAGCGUCCGUAGCCGGGCCCGUAAGUCCCUGGCGAAAUCCCACGGCUCAACCGUGGGGCUUGCUGGGGAUACUGCGGGCCUUGGGACCGGGAGAGGCCGGGGGUACCCCUGGGGUAGGGGUGAAAUCCUAUAAUCCCAGGGGGACCGCCAGUGGCGAAGGCGCCCGGCUGGAACGGGUCCGACGGUGAGGGACGAAGGCCAGGGGAGCGAACCGGAUUAGAUACCCGGGUAGUCCUGGCUGUAAAGGAUGCGGGCUAGGUGUCGGGCGAGCUUCGAGCUCGCCCGGUGCCGGAGGGAAGCCGUUAAGCCCGCCGCCUGGGGAGUACGGCCGCAAGGCUGAAACUUAAAGGAAUUGGCGGGGGAGCACUACAAGGGGUGGAGCGUGCGGUUUAAUUGGAUUCAACGCCGGGAACCUCACCGGGGGCGACGGCAGGAUGAAGGCCAGGCUGAAGGUCUUGCCGGACGCGCCGAGAGGAGGUGCAUGGCCGCCGUCAGCUCGUACCGUGAGGCGUCCACUUAAGUGUGGUAACGAGCGAGACCCGCGCCCCCAGUUGCCAGUCCUCCCCGCUGGGGAGGAGGCACUCUGGGGGGACCGCCGGCGAUAAGCCGGAGGAAGGAGCGGGCGACGGUAGGUCAGUAUGCCCCGAAACCCCCGGGCUACACGCGCGCUACAAUGGGCGGGACAAUGGGAUCCGACCCCGAAAGGGGAAGGGAAUCCCCUAAACCCGCCCUCAGUUCGGAUCGCGGGCUGCAACUCGCCCGCGUGAAGCUGGAAUCCCUAGUACCCGCGUGUCAUCAUCGCGCGGCGAAUACGUCCCUGCUCCUUGCACACACCGCCCGUCACUCCACCCGAGCGGGGUCCGGGUGAGGCCUGGUCUCCCUUCGGGGAGG
This 1361-nucleotide ribosomal RNA is filed under the name Thermococcus sp. 1519. RNAcentral's name for it is "16S ribosomal RNA". It matches the Rfam family "Archaeal small subunit ribosomal RNA". Lineage: Archaea; Methanobacteriati; Methanobacteriota; Thermococci; Thermococcales; Thermococcaceae. The record is from RNAcentral.